Long non-coding RNA from Entelurus aequoreus (snake pipefish), 640 nucleotides. RefSeq lists it as uncharacterized. The transcript has 3 exons. The record is from RefSeq and is a predicted model, not a curated record. Lineage: Eukaryota; Metazoa; Chordata; Actinopteri; Syngnathiformes; Syngnathidae.
UCAGGCCGGCAUGCAAAGGCGGUGCCUUUAAGGUUGUUAAAACGUGGACCUUGGGGUGUUGUGUUUUCCCGGAAUGCAAAGGAAAGUUGGCGCGGGCAAGGCGUGAAGGUACUCCGUGAUUGUGCGCUGCCGAACAUGCUCGUCUGCUUGUAAACCAACAAUGACACAACAUGACAACGGGAGUGGCGGACCGGUACUUUCCACAGGCGGUAUCGUACCGAAUAUGAUUCAUUGGUAUCGCGGUACUAUACUAAUACCGGUAUACCGUACAACCAUAGUGCUCUAAGGCCCUUGAGGCCAUAAAAACCACAGGACACUCAACGCUGACAUUGGGGCAUGCAGCAAAAGGGAUGUUCCUGCCAGUAGACCUUCAUUUUUGGACAUUUUGACACAACCCAAGAACACGCUGGCACCAGGGUAGGAUCUUGUCGGAACGUAGCAUCUCCCAGCAUGAGCGUGGAGCUGCAAAUGGACCAGUGGGCCGAGCAUCACAGCUGGCCUGCACCACUUAGCAUCCCGAUCACCCUCCAGCAGACAAUUCAUCAGGUCGUAUCCGAGGCUCUCCAGACCACUCGACCUCUCGACACAUCACAUAAUGGGCCUAAGUCCACAAGAUUCCCAGGUCAGAGGUCACAUUACG